UAAACGAUAAACCACGAAUWUYUUACCUAUUUUAUGUUUGUAUACCGUCAUUAUCAGAUAACUUUGAUAAAAUUAGUUAUUGAAAUUAAUAUAAGUUAAGAAAAUUAGAUCAAGGUGCAGCUUUAAAUAGGAGAAAAUGGGUUACAAUAAAAAUAGUUUAAAUGGAUUUGUUUAUGAAAAUAAAUAAUGAAGGUGGAUUUAAUUGUAAUAUUAAUAAUUAUAUUUUUUUGAUAUAGGCUCUAAAA
RNAcentral lists this ribosomal RNA (245 nucleotides) under Goreopagurus piercei. Its description in RNAcentral is "partial 12S ribosomal RNA". The record is from RNAcentral. Lineage: Eukaryota; Metazoa; Arthropoda; Malacostraca; Decapoda; Paguridae.